Molecule: ribosomal RNA, 237 nt
Filed under: Hepatozoon cf. felis
Lineage: Eukaryota; Apicomplexa; Hepatozoidae
Description: partial 18S ribosomal RNA
Rfam family: Eukaryotic small subunit ribosomal RNA
Source: RNAcentral
GCCAGCAGCCGCGGUAAUUCCAGCUCCAAUAGCGUAUAUUAAAAUUGUUGCAGUUAAAAAGCUCGUAGUUGAAUUUCUGCUAAAAAUAACCGGUCUGCUUUUAAUAAAGGUGGUAUCUUGGUGUGUUUUUAGCAAUAAUGUCCUUUGAAAUGUUUUUUACUUCAUUGUAAUAAAUUAUAUUUAGGAUUUUUACUUUGAGAAAAUUAGAGUGUUUCUAGCAGGCUAAYGCUUUGAAUA